Molecule: ribosomal RNA, 465 nt
Filed under: Vreelandella stevensii
Lineage: Bacteria; Pseudomonadati; Pseudomonadota; Gammaproteobacteria; Oceanospirillales; Halomonadaceae
Description: partial 16S ribosomal RNA
Rfam family: Bacterial small subunit ribosomal RNA
Source: RNAcentral
CCUACGGGGGGCAGCAGUGGGGAAUAUUGGACAAUGGGGGGAACCCUGAUCCAGCCAUGCCGCGUGUGUGAAGAAGGCCCUCGGGUUGUAAAGCACUUUCAGUGAGGAAGAACGCCUGGUGGUUAAUACCCAUCAGGAAAGACAUCACUCACAGAAGAAGCACCGGCUAACUCCGUGCCAGCAGCCGCGGUAAUACGGAGGGUGCGAGCGUUAAUCGGAAUUACUGGGCGUAAAGCGCGCGUAGGUGGCUUGAUAAGCCGGUUGUGAAAGCCCCGGGCUCAACCUGGGAACGGCAUCCGGAACUGUCAAGCUAGAGUGCAGGAGAGGAAGGUAGAAUUCCCGGUGUAGCGGUGAAAUGCGUAGAGAUCGGGAGGAAUACCAGUGGCGAAGGCGGCCUUCUGGACUGACACUGACACUGAGGUGCGAAAGCGUGGGUAGCAAACAGGAUUAGAUACACCAGUAGUC